AUUUUGGCCACAUCUGCGGAGUACCACAGUGGUUUCUUGAAUUUUUUGCUUUUACUGACAAGCCUAAUGCAAUUUUCUGUUGCCUUCAAUAGUGCAACUUUUAAAUAAUCCCAUUUCUCUUGGACUCCAUUUAAAUUGCUCCAGUCUGAUAAUGAAUCCUUUACACAUAUUCUAAUUUUAGAAAAAUCUGUUUUUCUAAAGUCUAAAACUUUUGUUUUUGUGUGGUGUGACUCAGUCACUGUUCUUAUAUUAAACCACACUGACUGAUGAUCACUGGAUCCUAAACUUUCACCUACAGUAACAUCUGAUACCAAAUCUCCAUUU
Pelobates cultripes (western spadefoot toad) is the source of this 324-nucleotide non-coding RNA. NCBI's taxonomy places the organism in Eukaryota, Metazoa, Chordata, Amphibia, Anura, Pelobatidae. The record is from the annotation of a GenBank genome assembly.